Long non-coding RNA from Cercocebus atys (sooty mangabey), 745 nucleotides. RefSeq lists it as uncharacterized. The record is from RefSeq and is a predicted model, not a curated record. The transcript has 4 exons. Lineage: Eukaryota; Metazoa; Chordata; Mammalia; Primates; Cercopithecidae.
CUAAACCAGACAAUCUUUAAGCUCUCUACCAGCUGUAACAUUCCAAGACUGAUUCUGAAGCAUUGGAAAUUAGCUGGACUUAGUGACAUACAAAGUAAUUAUGAAAAGAAUAUUUGCUUGAUUAAAAACAAAGUUGUUGGAGAACGUGGAGCUGGCUGCUACAUCCACACAACCCAUGGGCUUUCAUGAUGGUUUGGCUGUUCUGAUUGUAAAGGAAAAAUGAUGAUAGCUCACAGCUACUAAAUGCAUUACGUAGUUGGAAUUGGGCCAACUGUUUUACAUGUAUCAUUUUACUUAAUCCUCACAGUAACCUUAUGCGGUAGAUGCUCCCAUUGCAAGCUGUAACUCUGGAGAGAUCAAGUCAAUGCUCAAGAUCAUUUGCGCUGGGGGAAGCUAUUCCAGCUGUCCUGUGCAGAGACGUGCUUGGCAAGGAGCAGAAGCUGCAGGCCAACAGCUGCAUGUGGGAGGAUAUCCACUAGCUUCAGUCAAGCCUCAGAUGACUGAACUCCCAGCUGACAACUUGAUUGCAGCCUUGUGAGAGACCCUUAGCCUGACCCACUCCAGGACCUUGGAUAUGAAGAGUCAGCCUGCCUUCCCAGCACGCAAGUUAUUGGGUCCUGUGUGGUGCUCUCAGAUCCGUUGUGGUGUAAUCAGGCAGGGAUGGCCUCUGACAAUGCGGAGAGCAUGAAGAAGGCAGGAAGUGUCUCAGAAGGAGAACAGACUUAGAGCCAAGCUGUGAAUUUUG